RNAcentral lists this ribosomal RNA (841 nucleotides) under Exiguobacterium profundum. Its description in RNAcentral is "bacterial SSU rRNA". It matches the Rfam family "Bacterial small subunit ribosomal RNA", at positions 62 to 873 of the family's 1533-position model. The record is from RNAcentral. Lineage: Bacteria; Bacillati; Bacillota; Bacilli; Caryophanales.
UCGAGCGCAGGAAGCCGUCUGAACCCUUCCGGGGGACGACGGUGGAAUGAGCGGCGGACGGGUGAAUAACACGUAAAGAACCUGCCCAUAAGUCUGGGAUAACCACGAAAAAUCGGGGCUAAUACCGGAUGUGUCAUCGGACCGCAUGGUCCGCUGAUGAAAGGCGCUCCGGCGUCCCCCAUGGAUGGCUUUGCGGUGCAUUAACUAGUUGGUGGGGUAACGGCCCACCAAGGCGACGAUGCAUAACCGACCUGAAAGGGUGAUCGGCCACACUGGGACUGAAACACGGCCCAGACUCCUACGGGAGGCAGCAGUAGGGAAUCUUCCACAAUGGACGAAAGUCUGAUGGAACAACGCCGCGUGAACGAUGAAGGCUUUCGGGUCGUAAAGUUCUGUUGUAAGGGAAGAACAAGUGCCGCAGGCAAUGGCGGCACCUUGACGGUACCUUGCGAGAAAGCCACGGCUAACUACGUGCCAGCAGCCGCGGUAAUACGUAAGUGGCAAGCGUUGUCCGGAAUUAUUGGGCGUAAAGCGCGCGCAGGCGGCCUCUUAAGUCUGAUGUGAAAGCCCCCGGCUCAACCGGGGAGGGCCAUUGGAAACGGGAGGCUUGAGUAUAGGAGAGAAGAGUGGAAUUCCACGUGUAGCGGUGAAAUGCGUAGAGAUGUGGAGGAACACCAGUGGCGAAGGCGACUCUUUGGCCUAUAACUGACGCUGAAGCGCGAAAGCGUGGGGAGCAAACAGGAUUAGAUACCCUGGUAGUCCACGCCGUAAACGAUGAGUGCUAGGUGUUGGAGGGUUUCCGGCCCUUCAGUGCUGAAGCUAACGCAUUAAGCACUCCGGC